GACGAACGCUGGCGGCGUGCUUAACACAUGCAAGUCGAACGGGCCCGCUCUCUUUUUUGGGGGUGGGUUGAGUGGCGAACGGGUGAGUAUCACGUGAGUAACCUGCCCCCUGCUCCUGGAUAACUGCUUGAAAGGGCGGCUAAUACGGGGUGUGCCGGCUGGUCCGCAUGGGCCUGGUCGGGAUAGUUUCAUCUUCGGGUGUUUCGGUGGGGGAUGGGCUCGCGGCCUAUCAGCGUGUUGGUGGGGGGAUGGCCCACCGAGGCGGUGAAGGGUGGCCGGCCUGAGAGGGUGCGCGGCCACACUGGGACUGAGACACGGCCCCGACUGCGGCGGGAGGCAGCGGUGGGGGGUAUUGCACAAUGGGCGGAAGCCUGAUGCAGCGACGUCGCGUGAGGGAUGGAGGCCGUCGGGUGGUGAACCUCUGUCUCCGGUGGUGAAGGCCCUGUCCGUUGCGGCGGGGUUGACGGUAGCCGGGUAUGAAGCGCCGGCUAACUACGUG
This 499-nucleotide ribosomal RNA is filed under the name uncultured bacterium. RNAcentral describes it as "partial 16S ribosomal RNA". It matches the Rfam family "Bacterial small subunit ribosomal RNA", at positions 28 to 507 of the family's 1533-position model. The record is from RNAcentral.